GAUGAACGCUAGCUACAGGCUUAACACAUGCAAGUCGAGGGGUAACAAGAGAAAAGCUUGCUUUUCUUGUUGACGACCGGCGCACGGGUGAGUAACGCGUAUCCAACCUGCCUAUAACUAGGGAAUAACCUUGCGAAAGUAAGACUAAUACCCUAUGAUUUCCUUUGAUGACAUCCGAUUAGGCAUAAAGAUUUAUCGGUUAUAGAUGGGGAUGCGUCUGAUUAGCUUGUUGGCGGGGUAACGGCCCACUAAGGCAACGAUCAGUAGGGGUUCUGAGAGGAAGGUCCCCCACAUUGGAACUGAGACACGGUCCAAACUCCUACGGGAGGCAGCAGUGAGGAAUAUUGGUCAAUGGGCGGAAGCCUGAACCAGCCAAGUAGCGUGCAGGAUGACGGCCCUAUGGGUUGUAAACUGCUUUUAUACAGGAAUAAAGUUAGCCACGUGUGGUUAUUUGUAGGUACUGUAUGAAUAAGGACCGGCUAAUUCCGUGCCAGCAGCCGCAGUAA
This 506-nucleotide ribosomal RNA is filed under the name uncultured bacterium. RNAcentral's name for it is "partial 16S ribosomal RNA". It matches the Rfam family "Bacterial small subunit ribosomal RNA", at positions 28 to 523 of the family's 1533-position model. The record is from RNAcentral.